This 459-nucleotide ribosomal RNA is filed under the name uncultured bacterium. Its description in RNAcentral is "partial 16S ribosomal RNA". It matches the Rfam family "Bacterial small subunit ribosomal RNA", at positions 339 to 795 of the family's 1533-position model. The record is from RNAcentral.
CUACGGGGGGCUCCAGUGGGGAAUUUUGGGCAAUGGGGGCAACCCUGAUCCAGCAACGCCGCGUGAAGGAUGAAGGUCUUCGGAUUGUAAACUUCUUUUGUAGGGGACGAAUCCCUCCGUGAAUAACGGAGAAUGACGGUACCCUAAGAAUAAGCCACGGCUAACUACGUGCCAGCAGCCGCGGUAAUACGUAGGUGGCGAGCGUUACUCGGAAUUACUAGGCGUAAAGCGCAGGUAGGUGGUUGGAUAAGUCCGCAAUGAAAGCUCCCGGCUUAACUGGGAGAGGCGUGUAGAUACUGUUCAACUAGAGUGUGGGAGAGGUAACUAGAAUUCCUGGUGUAGCGGUGAAAUGCGUAGAUAUCAGGAGGAAUACCAACGGCGAAAGCAGGUUACUGGCCCAAUACUGACACUGAGCUGCGAAAGCUAGGGGAGCAAACAGGAUUAGAUACCCCUGUAGUC